Cricetulus griseus (Chinese hamster) is the source of this 1252-nucleotide non-coding RNA. NCBI's taxonomy places the organism in Eukaryota, Metazoa, Chordata, Mammalia, Rodentia, Cricetidae. The record is from RefSeq and is a predicted model, not a curated record.
GCGUGCCAGCCCGAGGAAGUCGUUCUGUGCUCGGCUAGGAAGGUGCGGUAUCCCCGGCAGCUCUUAGUGCCGCAACGGAAGAUCCUCAGCUGGUGGGGCUGCCUGGAGUGUUCCAGAUCUGGGCCAGGGGAAAAGGAUGUUCUUUGAAAGCCAAGCCUCAGUACCACCAGUGUCCACCAUGUGGCAGUGCCUUGCCACUGGACAGCAGCCACUACACAGCAGCCACGAUUCCUGGGGACAGACGUGGAAAAUGCCUCCAGUUCUCCCCUACCAUCCUGCUUCCCUCCCAGACCAUGGAAAGGGGCUGGUUCCUCUGCUCCACAACUGCCAGACAGCAGAGGAAGACCUCUGCACCACAUCCCGGCCACCUUUGACACAUGGCGAUGGAGCCCGAUGAUAGAGGCCAGACUUCCUAGAAAUCCAGGGUGCCAUGGAGUGGAGAGGGAGGAGAAAGGAGUAGGAGACAGUUAUAUCCACUUGCAUUUCUCCCCAGGCCCGGAAACACAUUGAAGACUUUUGGCCACUGCUUUCUAUAGCUUUCGGUCCCUCUCUGUUGGUCACUGCAGAUGAGUGACAGCCUGAUAGCCCCUGGGGGAUCUGGAUCAUGAGACUGCAAGUUCCCAUUUCUGGCGGUGCCUAGGAGGGCUUACUUGUUUGUGCCAGGAAUCAGGCUCAGGGGAAGUAGCAAGAAGAAGUGGCUGUAGGAGCCACUGAUGCCACCUUUCCGGAACCCUCCUCGUCAGGUGCCCAUGAUUUCACGUUUUUCCCACCCCUUUGCUGUUGAGCCUGGCCUGGCCCUACCUCCCCACUGACACUUACAUCAGAGAUUAGCUAUAAAUACGCUCUUAGCAUCUUAGUCACUUUCCCAAGAAGUGCUUCCAGGUUAUAAAUACCCAGGCAUCUGCCGCACUGCCCGCCUUGCCACCAAGCUGGCUGGGGGCUGGGGGUAGCGACAGGCUUGACAGUGGGGAAGGAAAUAGAAGAAGCAGGGCCACUUAUUUGCCCAAAUGAGAACAGCCUGAAGGAGUCUAGAGCCAGGGGGCAGGGGGCUCAGGAAGAAAAUGUGUAGAUGAUAACAGGUUCUUCCAUUUAACCCCUCCCCCUUCUUUUAAACAAAAAGCAGAGCGAAAAAAGAAAGUGAAUAGCAUGGAGCCCGUGUUUAUUUUUAAAUAUGCUGUUUUGUUCAUCGUGGAUUUUCAGCGUUCACUAUGUUUGAAAAAUCUUUCAUUAAAAUGAUGGUUUUCUCCAUUGA